Molecule: ribosomal RNA, 458 nt
Filed under: uncultured bacterium
Lineage: Bacteria
Description: partial 16S ribosomal RNA
Rfam family: Bacterial small subunit ribosomal RNA
Source: RNAcentral
CCUACGGGAGGCAGCAGUGAGGAAUAUUGGUCAAUGGGCGAGAGCCUGAACCAGCCAAGUCGCGUGAGGGAGUACUGCCCUAUGGGUUGUAAACCUCUUUUGUCGGGGAGCAAAAGCCGGACGUGUCCGGCUGUGAGAGUACCCGAAGAAAAAGCAUCGGCUAACUCCGUGCCAGCAGCCGCGGUAAUACGGAGGAUGCGAGCGUUAUCCGGAUUUAUUGGGUUGAAAGGGUGCGGAGGCGGAAUUUUAAGUCAGCGGUAAAAUCGUGGGGCUCAACCCCAUCCAGCCGUUGAAACUGGGGAUCUAGAGUGUGCGAGAGGUAUGCGGAAUGCGUGGUGUAGCGGUGAAAUGCAUAGAUAUCACGCAGAACCCCGAUUGCGAAGGCAGCAUACCGGUGCACAACUGACGCUCAGGCACGAAAGCGUGGGUAUCGAACAGGAUUAGAUACCCUGGUAGUC